UUGUGGAGGAGGACGCCGAAGGUGGGGCUGAUGACUGGGGUGAAGUCGUAACAAGGUAGCCGUACCGGAAGGUGCGGCUGGAUCACCUCCUAACAGGGAGACAAAACUGAUUAUUGAUGUCUGAUAUUUAAUCUCAGGCCAUAAUCCUGUCACCUUAGGUCGAUCGGUACCUCAGAUUAAAAACGUCAAAUUUAUUGAGGUUUUUAAUUUCAGUUCCUAAACUUGUCUAGGUCACACCCAACAAACUUUCUCCUGGGCUAUUAGCUCAGGCGGUUAGAGCGCACCCCUGAUAAGGGUGAGGUCCCUGGUUCAAGUCCAGGAUGGCCCAUUCGUAGUUGGGGGUAUAGCUCAGUUGGUAGAGCGCCUGCUUUGCAAGCAGGAUGUCAGCGGUUCGAGUCCGCUUACCUCCACUGAUCAACUACCUGAUAACUCAAUUGGGAGAUUGUCAUUUGUUUAGAGUGAUUUAGAUGUUGUUCAACUGAAUGAACCUAGCUUCCUGUCAUCCCUUCUUUUAGGCUGAUAAGACGCUGGGCUCACUGAUAUUCGUAAGAUUAUCAGUUUGAUUCAGCAGAACCUUGACAACUGCAUAGAUAAAGUCUGGAAAAAAAAGCAUCUCAUAGAUGCAUAGAAUUUAAUAUUCAGAAUUUCUGAAGUAAAAUUAGAUUUCUAUGAUUAAUUCUUGAGUUAGAGCAAAAGAUCUAUAUGGCUUAGUCAAUAGAUCUUAAUGGUCAAGCUACAA
Molecule: unclassified non-coding RNA, 739 nt
Filed under: uncultured Prochlorococcus sp.
Lineage: Bacteria; Bacillati; Cyanobacteriota; Cyanophyceae; Synechococcales; Prochlorococcaceae
Description: partial 16S-23S ribosomal RNA intergenic spacer; may also contain 16S ribosomal RNA and 23S ribosomal RNA
Rfam family: Bacterial small subunit ribosomal RNA (bases 1-93)
Source: RNAcentral